UUUUGUGGUCUGGGGUGCUGAAGACAGCUGAGACAUACCCAUGGAACCUGAUGCAGUUAGGACUGCCGUAGGGAGACCAUUUUAGUCAACC
Molecule: non-coding RNA, 91 nt
Filed under: Lentilactobacillus parafarraginis
Lineage: Bacteria; Bacillati; Bacillota; Bacilli; Lactobacillales; Lactobacillaceae
Also listed under: 1 other name
Description: Lactobacillus parafarraginis TPP sequence
Rfam family: TPP riboswitch aptamer (THI element)
About the family: Vitamin B(1) in its active form thiamin pyrophosphate (TPP) is an essential coenzyme that is synthesised by coupling of pyrimidine and thiazole moieties in bacteria. The previously detected thiamin-regulatory element, thi box was extended, resulting in a new, highly conserved RNA secondary structure, the THI element, which is widely distributed in eubacteria and also occurs in some archaea.
Source: RNAcentral